Molecule: long non-coding RNA, 1150 nt
Organism: Carassius auratus (goldfish)
Lineage: Eukaryota; Metazoa; Chordata; Actinopteri; Cypriniformes; Cyprinidae
Exons: 3
Source: RefSeq, a predicted model, not a curated record
AUUGAAGCUGUGUGUACGGUAUACUGUCCAUGUCCAGAAAGACUCAUGCAGGAAUGAAAUGUGCUGCUCAGACAUGCAGUGUAUGACAGGUUGAGUCCGCUGCGGCUUUCUUUGGAACCAUUUUUUGUUGGCGAGGUAAAAAUGGUAACUAAAGAUUGUGUAAAUUUCAUGGAGACCCACAUUCAAGGGAAGAUCCGAUUCCUUGCGUUACUGGAGAAAAAACCUUCAGGUCUUUAGGAACCGGAAGCAGUUCGAAUGAGACUGGACCAACCUGAAAUAUACAGUAUAGCUCCACAAGUUACCAGCCACCACAGCACGGGACCCUCGCCUUCUGUUUUGUUGUUUUGAUGCGGACAUUAUUUUGCUCUGUUUUGACUUCUACUGGUUUAUGCUUUUAUCAGAUCGAGUUUCACACAUUAACAGUGUACAGUAGGUUUGUCUUGGUAACUGUCAUGUGCAUCAAAAGUAACUCCUACACUUAUUUAUUUCCUCACUCCGAACUGUCAGCAUUUGUGCAUUGUGCCUUCGCUUCGUUUGAUUUGUUUCUGAACAGGGCAGUGAAUGGCGUUUCUCCAGUGUGCAUUCUUUUGUGUUUCAUUUCCUUCUCCCUCACAGAGAGAUAAGGGAGCAGUGACUCUUCACAGUGUGAGCGCUUGUAAGGUCUGGCUUCAGUACAUGGAUUUGAUGGAUAUCUCACUCAUAUGUGUCAAGAGUGAAGUUUUGCGUUGCUAUUGUUAUUGUGAAUGAUUCAUCUGUACAUCUUGUUCCUAAAGAGAGUACUGUUUUCAUUAAUCUUCAGUGUACUUUGACUUGUAGUAUUGAUUUGCAGCUGAUGUUAACCUGCUCCUCACACUAUCUUUUCAUUUAGAUCAUUUUGUACAGUCCAUGGGGAUCCCUAUUAUAAUAUUUAUACAUUAACAUAGUUAGACAACGCACACAAAGAUUACUUGAGGGAAAAACAGAUACUGUCCAUCAAAUAUUACUGCAUUUCAAGCAAUAGUAGGAAAGAAAUAUUUUGUGUGUGUGUUUGUGUGUGAAAGUACAGAAGUACUUGCUUUUAAAAGUGCCAAUUUACCAAAAGUACAUUUCCUUUAUGUAAUACUUGCAAAACUUGUAUGCCUUUGAAGCAACUUACAAUCCAUUAUGUCUA